AAACUCAGGAGAUUUUCAAUCGAACGCAGGAGAGUAGUUGUGCGUUAAUUUCACCAAUUAUUAGAGACCUUAAGAUCCAGGUUUUUGGCGAUUUCUGGCUGACCGCGAACCGCAAGCGGUCACGUGACCGGGGCUUGCCGUCGCGUUUGCCGUUCGAAGUUCACGUUUUGAACUGAUGGGACUCCUUCUAGAGAAAUGAGACUUGCGUUACAGGCCCAUAAGUAUUGACGUCACUUCCGGCUGCUUGUCGCAAGAAUCGGAAGUCAACGUUAGCAGUGAUGUCUGCAGUUCCAGGAGCUUCAAGCACAUCGUGCAGUUUGUGCUUAAAAAAUGACUAAAAUAAAAAUGAAAUCGUAAUU
Molecule: long non-coding RNA, 359 nt
Organism: Nematostella vectensis (starlet sea anemone)
Lineage: Eukaryota; Metazoa; Cnidaria; Anthozoa; Actiniaria; Edwardsiidae
Exons: 2
Source: RefSeq, a predicted model, not a curated record